GCGCCAGUAGCUCAGUUGGAUUAGAGCAACGGACUUCUAAUCCGUAGGUCGCAGGUUCGAAUCCUGCCUGGCGUA
Molecule: transfer RNA, 75 nt
Filed under: Bacteroidota bacterium
Lineage: Bacteria; Pseudomonadati; Bacteroidota
Also listed under: 2 other names
Description: Bacteroidetes bacterium (activated sludge metagenome) tRNA-Arg
Rfam family: tRNA
About the family: Transfer RNA (tRNA) molecules are approximately 80 nucleotides in length. Their secondary structure includes four short double-helical elements and three loops (D, anti-codon, and T loops).
Source: RNAcentral